This 253-nucleotide ribosomal RNA is filed under the name uncultured bacterium. RNAcentral's name for it is "partial 16S ribosomal RNA". It matches the Rfam family "Bacterial small subunit ribosomal RNA", at positions 524 to 776 of the family's 1533-position model. The record is from RNAcentral.
UACGUAGGGGGCAAGCGUUAUCCGGAUUUACUGGGUGUAAAGGGAGCGUAGGCGGGUUGUUAAGUCAGUUGUGAAAGUUUGCGGCUCAACCGUAAAAUUGCAGUUGAUACUGGCAUCCUUGAGUACAGUAGAGGUAGGCGGAAUUCGUGGUGUAGCGGUGAAAUGCUUAGAUAUCACGAAGAACUCCGAUUGCGAAGGCAGCCUGCUGGACUGUAACUGACGCUGAUGCUCGAAAGUGUGGGUAUCAAACAGG